UACGAAGGGGGCUAGCGUUGUUCGGAAUCACUGGGCGUAAAGCGCGCGUAGGCGGAUUGUUAAGUCAGGGGUGAAAUGCCGAGGCUCAACCUCGGAACUGCCUUUGAUACCGGCAAUCUUGAGUCCGGGAGAGGUGAGUGGAACUCCUAGUGUAGAGGUGAAAUUCGUAGAUAUUAGGAAGAACACCAGUGGCGAAGGCGGCUCACUGGCCCGGAACUGACGCUGAUGUGCGAAAGCGUGGGGAGCAAACAGG
Molecule: ribosomal RNA, 253 nt
Filed under: uncultured bacterium
Lineage: Bacteria
Description: partial 16S ribosomal RNA
Rfam family: Bacterial small subunit ribosomal RNA
Source: RNAcentral